UACAGAGGGUGCAAGCGUUGUUCGGAAUUAUUGGGCGUAAAGCGCGUGUAGGCGGCUUGGCAAGUCGGGUGUGAAAGCCCUCAGCUCAACUGAGGAAGUGCGCCCGAAACUGCUUUGCUUGAGUGCUGGAGAGGGUCGCGGAAUUCCCCAAGUAGAGGUGAAAUUCGUAGAUAUCUGGAGGAACACCGGUGGCGAAGGCGGCAUCCUGGACCGGUACUGACGCUGAGGAGCGAAAGCGUGGGGAGCGAACAGG
Molecule: ribosomal RNA, 253 nt
Filed under: uncultured bacterium
Lineage: Bacteria
Description: partial 16S ribosomal RNA
Rfam family: Bacterial small subunit ribosomal RNA
Source: RNAcentral